RNAcentral lists this non-coding RNA (102 nucleotides) under Halalkalibacter okhensis. RNAcentral describes it as "Bacillus okhensis Guanine sequence". It matches the Rfam family "Purine riboswitch aptamer". Rfam says of the family: Riboswitches are metabolite binding domains within certain messenger RNAs that serve as precision sensors for their corresponding targets. Lineage: Bacteria; Bacillati; Bacillota; Bacilli; Caryophanales; Bacillaceae. The record is from Rfam by way of RNAcentral.
AUUGUAUAUGGUUAUUCUUUUCGUAUAAUUGCAGGGAUAUGGCCUGCUAGUCUCUACCAAGCUUCCGUAAAGAGCUUGACUACGAAAAAUCAAUCUACCCCU